RNAcentral lists this ribosomal RNA (491 nucleotides) under uncultured bacterium. RNAcentral's name for it is "partial 16S ribosomal RNA". It matches the Rfam family "Bacterial small subunit ribosomal RNA", at positions 29 to 507 of the family's 1533-position model. The record is from RNAcentral.
AGUGAACGCUGGCGGUAGGCCUAACACAUGCAAGUCGAACGGCAGCACAGUAAGAGCUUGCUCUUACGGGUGGCGAGUGGCGGACGGGUGAGGAAUACAUCGGAAUCUACUUUUUCGUGGGGGAUAACGUAGGGAAACUUACGCUAAUACCGCAUACGACCUACGGGUGAAAGCAGGGGAUCUUCGGACCUUGCGCGAUUGAAUGAGCCGAUGUCGGAUUAGCUAGUUGGCGGGGUAAAGGCCCACCAAGGCGACGAUCCGUAGCUGGUCUGAGAGGAUGAUCAGCAACACUGGAACUGAGACACGGUCCAGACUCCUACGGGAGGCAGCAGUGGGGAAUAUUGGCAAUGGGCGCAAGCCUGAUCCAGCCAUACCGCGUGGGUGAAGAAGGCCUUCGGGUUGUAAAGCCCUUUUGUUGGGAAAGAAAAGCAGCAGGUUAAUACCCCGCUGUUCUGACGGUACCCAAAGAAUAAGCACCGGCUAACUUCGUG